This is a long non-coding RNA of Polyodon spathula (Mississippi paddlefish), 616 nucleotides long. RefSeq lists it as uncharacterized. The transcript is spliced from 3 exons. The record is from RefSeq and is a predicted model, not a curated record. NCBI's taxonomy places the organism in Eukaryota, Metazoa, Chordata, Actinopteri, Acipenseriformes, Polyodontidae.
UUGUAUUUUUUUGUUUUAAUAAUGUUUCUAUGAGUGUCUAUUUUUCCAAGCUGAGUAUUUGUUUGCAUUUUGUGUUUCCCGGGGCCAUCAUUGCGCGUGGGCUUCACGGGUGGAGCGCAGCGAGCUCGCGCAGGGGUUCGAACAGCUCGCCCGCCAGGUUUGAAUCUCCUCCCCGUCUCGAGCGACGUGUCUUCACUCUCUCCCGCUCCUGAGAAAGCUGCUCGCGCUGCCGGAGGCGCCUUCGCUGGGAUUAUAAAGUGUACCUACUUGAGUUGCAGCCAGGAAUCUGUAACGCGGGACAUUAAAUACAGCCACGGGGUCAAGGACUGCUAUUACGAGAUUGAACCCUUCAGCAGAAAUCGUUGAGAGGGGCCAAGCGGGGGUGCGAGCUGGAGAAAGCACGAGGCUAGGCUUCAUUCUGCUAAGCUGAAAAACUGGCGAGGAAAAUGGGUUAGCAGCCAACCUGUCAGCUGUAUACAUCCAGUCUGGGUAUAUAUAUAGCCCGCAGCCUUUGUCAGGAAUAGCUGCCCUAAUAAAGGAGAGUAAUCUUGGAUAGUGUGAUUUGUAGUGAUGCCAACCUGCUUCCUUUAACCCCCCCCCCACCACCACCACACUC